CGCGUAGGCGGCUAUUUAAGUCGGAUGUGAAAGCCCCGGGCUCAACCUGGGAAUUGCAUCCGAUACUGGGUAGCUAGAAUGCAGUAGAGGGAGGUGGAAUUUCCGGUGUAGCGGUGAAAUGCGUAGAGAUCGGAAGGAACACCAGUGGCGAAGGCGGCCUCCUGGACUGACAUUGACGCUGAGUGCGAAAGCGUGGGGAUCAAACA
This 206-nucleotide ribosomal RNA is filed under the name uncultured bacterium. RNAcentral's name for it is "partial 16S ribosomal RNA". It matches the Rfam family "Bacterial small subunit ribosomal RNA", at positions 568 to 774 of the family's 1533-position model. The record is from RNAcentral.